RNAcentral lists this ribosomal RNA (253 nucleotides) under uncultured bacterium. Its description in RNAcentral is "partial 16S ribosomal RNA". It matches the Rfam family "Bacterial small subunit ribosomal RNA", at positions 524 to 776 of the family's 1533-position model. The record is from RNAcentral.
UACGGAGGGAGCUAGCGUUGUUCGGAAUUACUGGGCGUAAAGCGCACGUAGGCGGCCGUUCAAGUCAGGGGUUAAAGCCUGGAGCUCAACUCCAGAACUGCAUUCGAUACUGGCAGACUCGAAUAAGGCAGAGGGUAGCGGAAUGGCGAGUGUAGAGGUGAAAUUCGUAGAUAUUCGGAGGAACACCAGUGGCGAAGGCGGCUAGCUGGGCCAUUAGUGACGCUGAGGUGCGAAAGCGUGGGGAGCAAACAGG